UCUCUUACAGUAGAUCGAUAGUCACCUCGGAUUCCGAGAUUGUUCAAGAAUUCAUAUAGCCUUUAAGAAUUCUAUUGCAUUAUAUUGUUCAUAUAUAUAUAUAUAUAUAUAUAUAUAUAUAUAUAUAUAUAUAUAUUAGAACUCUGUGGGCUUUCUGAACUCUGUGGGCUUUCUAUUAGCAUUAUCACCAUAUACAUAUCUACACGCUUUCUGCUUUUAGGUGGCACCUUUUCUUUUAAUUAGACUAGCUUUUAUGUGGCAUUCAAAGUUGUUGCAGAUGAUUAUGUAACUUCUGACAGUGGAAGUGGAAUCGUUCAUUGUGC
Molecule: long non-coding RNA, 323 nt
Filed under: Panax ginseng (ginseng)
Lineage: Eukaryota; Viridiplantae; Streptophyta; Magnoliopsida; Apiales; Araliaceae
Description: long non-coding RNA (PGIN_LNC008509)
Source: RNAcentral